This 674-nucleotide ribosomal RNA is filed under the name uncultured bacterium. Its description in RNAcentral is "bacterial SSU rRNA". It matches the Rfam family "Bacterial small subunit ribosomal RNA", at positions 44 to 715 of the family's 1533-position model. The record is from RNAcentral.
AUGCUUAACACAUGCAAGUCGAACGGUAACAUUUCUAGCUUGCUAGAAGAUGACGAGUGGCGGACGGGUGAGUAAUGCUUGGGAACUUGCCUUUGCGAGGGGGAUAACAGUUGGAAACGACUGCUAAUACCGCAUAAUGUCUUCGGACCAAACGGGGCUUAGGCUCCGGCGCAAAGAGAGGCCCAAGUGAGAUUAGCUAGUUGGUAAGGUAACGGCUUACCAAGGCGACGAUCUCUAGCUGUUCUGAGAGGAAGAUCAGCCACACUGGGACUGAGACACGGCCCAGACUCCUACGGGAGGCAGCAGUGGGGAAUAUUGCACAAUGGGGGAAACCCUGAUGCAGCCAUGCCGCGUGUGUGAAGAAGGCCUUCGGGUUGUAAAGCACUUUCAGUUGUGAGGAAAAGUUAGUAGUUAAUACCUGCUAGCCGUGACGUUAACAACAGAAGAAGCACCGGCUAACUCCGUGCCAGCAGCCGCGGUAAUACGGAGGGUGCGAGCGUUAAUCGGAAUUACUGGGCGUAAAGAGCUCGUAGGCGGCUUGUUUAGUCGGACGUGAAAUCCCUUGGCUCAACUGAGGAACUGCGUCCGAUACUGGCAGGCUUGAAUCCGGGAGAGGGAUGCGGAAUUCCAGGUGUAGCGGUGAAAUGCGUAGAUAUCGGAAGGAACACCAGUGG